ACAACAUGCGGACCGUCGGUCUACCGAGCAAUAUCACCUGCUCGGUGAAAAAUAUUCCCUAUGUCGU
RNAcentral lists this microRNA precursor (67 nucleotides) under Bombyx mori (domestic silkworm). RNAcentral's name for it is "mir-2774 microRNA precursor family". It matches the Rfam family "mir-2774 microRNA precursor family". The record is from Rfam by way of RNAcentral. Lineage: Eukaryota; Metazoa; Arthropoda; Insecta; Lepidoptera; Bombycidae.